GAGUUUGAUCGUGGCUCAGAAUCAACGCUGGCGGCGUGCCUCAGACAUGCAAGUCGAACGAUUAAAGCUCUCUUCGGAGAGUGUAUAAAGUGGCGCACGGGUGAGUAACACGUAAGUAAUCUACCUUUGAGUGGGGAAUAACAGUCGGAAACGACUGCUAAUGCCGCAUAAUGCAGCGGCAUCGCAAGAUGACAGUUGUUAAAGAUUUAUCGCUUGAAGAGGAGCUUGCGGCAGAUUAGCUAGUUGGUAGGGUAAUGGCUUACCAAGGCUACGAUCUGUAACCGGUCUAAGAGGACGGUCGGUCACACUGACACUGAAUAACGAGUCAGACUCCUACGGGAGGCAGCAGUCGGGAAUUUUGGGCAAUGGGCGAAAGCCUGACCCAGCAACGCCGCGUGAAGGAUGAAGUAUUUCGGUAUGUAAACUUCGAAAGAAUGGGAAGAAUAAAUGACGGUACCAUUUAUAAGGUCCGGCUAACUACGUGCCAGCAGCCGCCGUAAU
This 501-nucleotide ribosomal RNA is filed under the name uncultured Acidobacteriota bacterium. RNAcentral describes it as "bacterial SSU rRNA". It matches the Rfam family "Bacterial small subunit ribosomal RNA", at positions 9 to 524 of the family's 1533-position model. Lineage: Bacteria; Pseudomonadati; Acidobacteriota. The record is from RNAcentral.